RNAcentral lists this ribosomal RNA (442 nucleotides) under uncultured bacterium. RNAcentral's name for it is "partial 16S ribosomal RNA". It matches the Rfam family "Bacterial small subunit ribosomal RNA", at positions 338 to 795 of the family's 1533-position model. The record is from RNAcentral.
CCUACGGGUGGCAGCAGUGGGGAAUAUUGGGCAAUGGGCGCAAGCCUGACCCAGCAACGCCGCGUGAAGGAAGAAGGCUUUCGGGUUGUAAACUUCUUUUAAGAGGGAAGAGCAGAAGACGGUACCUCUUGAAUAAGCCACGGCUAACUACGUGCCAGCAGCCGCGGUAAUACGUAGGUGGCAAGCGUUGUCCGGAUUUACUGGGUGUAAAGGGCGUGUAGCCGGGCUGACAAGUCAGAUGUGAAAUCCCGGGGCUCAACCACGGAACUGCAUUUGAAACUGUCGGUCUUGAGUAUCGGAGAGGCAGGCGGAAUUCCUGGUGUAGCGGUGAAAUGCGUAGAGAUUAGGAGGAACACCAGUGGCGAAGGCGGCCUGCUGGACGACAACUGACGGUGAGGCGCCAAAGCGCGGGUAUCGAACAGGAUUAGAUACCCUUGUAGUC